This 514-nucleotide ribosomal RNA is filed under the name Salmonella enterica subsp. enterica serovar Stanley. RNAcentral's name for it is "partial 23S ribosomal RNA". It matches the Rfam family "Bacterial large subunit ribosomal RNA", at positions 2238 to 2751 of the family's 2925-position model. Lineage: Bacteria; Pseudomonadati; Pseudomonadota; Gammaproteobacteria; Enterobacterales; Enterobacteriaceae. The record is from RNAcentral.
AUCCGGGUUGCGGACAGUGUCUGGUGGGUAGUUUGACUGGGGCGGUCUCCUCCUAAAGAGUAACGGAGGAGCACGAAGGUUGGCUAAUCCUGGUCGGACAUCAGGAGGUUAGUGCAAUGGCAUAAGCCAGCUUGACUGCGAGCGUGACGGCGCGAGCAGGUGCGAAAGCAGGUCAUAGUGAUCCGGUGGUUCUGAAUGGAAGGGCCAUCGCUCAACGGAUAAAAGGUACUCCGGGGAUAACAGGCUGAUACCGCCCAAGAGUUCAUAUCGACGGCGGUGUUUGGCACCUCGAUGUCGGCUCAUCACAUCCUGGGGCUGAAGUAGGUCCCAAGGGUAUGGCUGUUCGCCAUUUAAAGUGGUACGCGAGCUGGGUUUAGAACGUCGUGAGACAGUUCGGUCCCUAUCUGCCGUGGGCGCUGGAGAACUGAGGGGGGCUGCUCCUAGUACGAGAGGACCGGAGUGGACGCAUCACUGGUGUUCGGGUUGUCAUGCCAAUGGCACUGCCCGGUAGCUA